Molecule: ribosomal RNA, 662 nt
Filed under: Bacillus sp. (in: firmicutes)
Lineage: Bacteria; Bacillati; Bacillota; Bacilli; Caryophanales; Bacillaceae
Description: bacterial SSU rRNA
Rfam family: Bacterial small subunit ribosomal RNA
Source: RNAcentral
CAGUCGAGCGAAUGGAUUAAGAGCUUGCUCUUAUGAAGUUAGCGGCGGACGGGUGAGUAACACGUGGGUAACCUGCCCAUAAGACUGGGAUAACUCCGGGAAACCGGGGCUAAUACCGGAUAACAUUUUGAACCGCAUGGUUCGAAAUUGAAAGGCGGCUUCGGCUGUCACUUAUGGAUGGACCCGCGUCGCAUUAGCUAGUUGGUGAGGUAACGGCUCACCAAGGCAACGAUGCGUAGCCGACCUGAGAGGGUGAUCGGCCACACUGGGACUGAGACACGGCCCAGACUCCUACGGGAGGCAGCAGUAGGGAAUCUUCCGCAAUGGACGAAAGUCUGACGGAGCAACGCCGCGUGAGUGAUGAAGGCUUUCGGGUCGUAAAACUCUGUUGUUAGGGAAGAACAAGUGCUAGUUGAAUAAGCUGGCACCUUGACGGUACCUAACCAGAAAGCCACGGCUAACUACGUGCCAGCAGCCGCGGUAAUACGUAGGUGGCAAGCGUUAUCCGGAAUUAUUGGGCGUAAAGCGCGCGCAGGUGGUUUCUUAAGUCUGAUGUGAAAGCCCACGGCUCAACCGUGGAGGGUCAUUGGAAACUGGGAGACUUGAGUGCAGAAGAGGAAAGUGGAAUUCCAUGUGUAGCGGUGAAAUGCGUAGAGAUAUGG